GACGAACGCUGGCGGCGUGCUUAACACAUGCCAGUCGAACGGAAAGGCCCUGCUUUUGUGGGGUGCUCGAGUGGCGAACGGGUGAGUAACACGUGAGUAACCUGCCCUUGACUUUGGGAUAACUUCAGGAAACUGGGGCUAAUACCGGAUAGGAGCUCCUGCUGCAUGGUGGGGGUUGGAAAGUUUCGGCGGUUGGGGAUGGACUCGCGGCUUAUCAGCUUGUUGGUGGGGUAGUGGCUUACCGAGGCUUUGACGGGUAGCCGGCCUGAGAGGGUGACCGGCGACAUUGGGACUGAGAUACGGACCAGACUCCUACGGGAGGCAGCAGUGGGGAAUAUUGCACAAUGGGCGGAAGCCUGAUGCAGCAACGCCGCGUGCGGGAUGACGGCCUUCGGGUUGUAAACCGCUUUCGCCUGUGACGAAGCGUGAGUGACGGUAAUGGGUAAAGAAGCACCGGCUAACUACGUG
This 468-nucleotide ribosomal RNA is filed under the name uncultured bacterium. Its description in RNAcentral is "partial 16S ribosomal RNA". It matches the Rfam family "Bacterial small subunit ribosomal RNA", at positions 28 to 507 of the family's 1533-position model. The record is from RNAcentral.